This 411-nucleotide ribosomal RNA is filed under the name uncultured Atopobium sp. Its description in RNAcentral is "bacterial SSU rRNA". It matches the Rfam family "Bacterial small subunit ribosomal RNA", at positions 103 to 525 of the family's 1533-position model. Lineage: Bacteria; Bacillati; Actinomycetota; Coriobacteriia; Coriobacteriales; Atopobiaceae. The record is from RNAcentral.
CGGCUGAGUACACGUGGGCAACCUGCCCUUUGCACUGGGAUAGCCUCGGGAAACCGAGGUUAAUACCGGAUACUCCAUAUUUGUCGCAUGGCGAAUAUGGGAAAGCUCCGGCGGCAAAGGAUGGGCCCGCGGCCUGUUAGCUAGUUGGUGGGGUAGUGGCCUACCAAGGCAAUGAUGGGUAGCCGGGUUGAGAGACCGACCGGCCAGAUUGGGACUGAGACACGGCCCAGACUCCUACGGGAGGCAGCAGUGGGGAAUCUUGCACAAUGGGCGAAAGCCUGAUGCAGCGACGCCGCGUGCGGGAUGAAGGCCUUCGGGUUGUAAACCGCUUUCAGCAGGGACGAGGCCGCAAGGUGACGGUACCUGCAGAAGAAGCCCCGGGCUAACUACGUGCCAGCAGCCGCGGUAAAU